GCAGGGGUGCGGCAAGCACAUCGACUCUGUCAUGAAGCCCAUACCGGUACAGGAGCAGUGCGCGUGCAAGCCGCGAUCCCAGGAUGAGUUCGAUAAAUGCCGGUAAUCUCAAUAGGGUGGAUGCCUAAAGAGCGUCUCGUAGCUGGAGAAUCAGCUGGCAUGCUCGCAGUGAGACUUCAUUUCUUCGGUGUGUCGGAAUGGGAAAGUCAAAGAAAGGGACGUCACAAGAUCAUCCAGAAGGAACGGGCAGGCUGGCAAGCGACGCCAUAUUUCAGAAAAGGCGGCAGUUGAAUAUGACAGUAUGUGCCUUGUCUAUCGAAAAUGCGCAUAUCUAAAGUGGCGGAAUAAACAAUCUAUGCAUGCGGCAUAUAAGGCAGGUCCACACCUCCACUGCACCUGUAACCGCCUAUUUCAUUGUACGCGCAGAUUUUCUAGAACGGCUCUCAGGGGAUGCUAGAGAAGAUGUGAGUGGUGUGGCUACUGCUAUGGCCUUGUUGUGUGUGUCCAUCCGAUGAACCUGUGAGAGAAACUUUGUUGGAAGGACACCCACGGGACAGCAGCGUGGAGUUUACAGUCCGCAACAACGGAGCGAAAGUGUAUCUGUCAGUCAGGGGAAGAUCCGUUGUCGGAGACGUGCCUACAGAAGCUGUAUCGUCAAAGAUAGUAGACGGCAAGGGUAUACAGAUCUGAAACAGUUUCCGUCGUGGUUCAUUAUCAGUGGACGCCGAUGCCGCUGCCAACGGUUUGUAACAUGUGUGAAAGCCGAUGAUUUGCGCAUUGUGGACCGUCGCGCCUAGCAAACUCUUCCAGGUUAAACUGCCACGCACCGAUGAAAGGUUUACGGCGGCGAAGUCCUGUGCAUGGGCUGCAUUCAUCCCCAGAAAUGCAUUUGGUUUGCCCUUCCAAUCUAGUCAAAACCGGUUUUUCCCAGUGUGGCCGUCUCCACCACUCCCGCCGGCGUGUUAUUUUUUUCAUUUCAAGAGCUUCUCGAGUUUUCUUCUCUGCGUUUCUAAAACUCUCCAAAAUGUGUUACGAAGUAAAAUGUACACACUGUGGAAAGCGGACGUGGUAAGUGCGUGUCUGCACGGAAAUUCACGCAGUCUGAAAACAGCUUCCAACAAACUCUGCAUGCUGAUUACUGCGCGAGUGUGCAGUUUCACCAUGACAAUCAAACUGGUCUGACGAAGAGAAUCCAUUGCAACGGCUUCUCGUGGUAUUUGUUGGUGACAAGGCUUUCGUGUCCUUUACAUCCUCAUACGUUUUGUGCCACGCAGCGUGAACAAUUAUGUAUUAAGUGUGUACCACUGAUUGUGGAAGGCUGCCGAGAAGGUGUGAGCCCGCAGGCAAGGAAUCUUGGAAGAGCCUACUCGUUUCCCUUGAAUCCAG
This 1386-nucleotide long non-coding RNA is filed under the name Toxoplasma gondii VEG. Lineage: Eukaryota; Apicomplexa; Conoidasida; Eucoccidiorida; Sarcocystidae. The record is from RNAcentral.